Molecule: long non-coding RNA, 698 nt
Organism: Spinacia oleracea (spinach)
Lineage: Eukaryota; Viridiplantae; Streptophyta; Magnoliopsida; Caryophyllales; Amaranthaceae
Exons: 3
Source: RefSeq, a predicted model, not a curated record
UCACCACCCGACGCCACCGCAUCCACCCAGUACCACCACACACUUCCUUCGCCACCCCCACACCCCUCGCCUUUCUCCUCCUCACUCGCAUUCCCCUGCUUUCCUCCCUCACCCGCGCCCAGCUCCUCCUCCGCGCUCAGCCACCGGCGCUGCAGUACUGGCGCUCUUCUUCUUCAGCGCUGCUGCGCCGCGUCGCCGGUCGCAGACUUCCACCAGCCUUCUCCAUUUUCUCCUUCCUCCCGUCGUGGUUGUUCCUGCUCACUGCCUUGCUUCCUUCCCUAUUUCACGAUUCCAGGAACCCAAAUUCUUUAAAGUUUUGGUUUUAUUUCCUUAAGUCAACCCAUUAUCAAAAGCUGGCCCAAUAUCCUUUUAUUUGGAUCUUAAAUUGGACUCGGGGCUCAGGAAGAACGAACCAACAAAAAGGCUUAGCAAAUCGCGGAAUUGAGGUACUGCUGGGGACCACGGAAACGAGUAGUGGCGAGGAUUUCACUAUGUUCACCUAAGUUACUGUUAAGUUGUAACAAGUUUAAGUGAAGAUUCUUGAUUAAGUUACGUACUUUGAUUAAGGAAUUAAAAAGGAUUAUUAUGUUAAUUUUGGAGUUUAAUAGCUUAUGAUUGAUGGUUGCCUUGUAAUUCCCAAGAGGGAGUUACGGCAGUAAUGUCCCGACCGAAUUAGGAUGUUUCCGCUGCUAAGUAUU